Molecule: non-coding RNA, 27 nt
Filed under: Rattus norvegicus (Norway rat)
Lineage: Eukaryota; Metazoa; Chordata; Mammalia; Rodentia; Muridae
Source: RNAcentral
UGGAAGUAUGGUUGUGCCCAUCAGGAA